This 445-nucleotide ribosomal RNA is filed under the name uncultured bacterium. Its description in RNAcentral is "partial 16S ribosomal RNA". It matches the Rfam family "Bacterial small subunit ribosomal RNA", at positions 354 to 796 of the family's 1533-position model. The record is from RNAcentral.
GUGAGGAAUAUUGGUCAAUGGGCGAGAGCCUGAACCAGCCAAGUCGCGUGAAGGAAGACGGCCCUACGGGUUGUAAACUUCUUUUGCAAUGGAAUAAAAAGAGUUACGUGUAAUUCAUUGUAUGUACAUUGCGAAUAAGGAUCGGCUAACUCCGUGCCAGCAGCCGCGGUAAUACGGAGGAUCCGAGCGUUAUCCGGAUUUAUUGGGUUUAAAGGGUGCGUAGGCGGAUUGGAAAGUCAGCGGUGAAAGUUUGCAGCUUAACUGUAAAAUUGCCAUUGAAACUGUCAGUCCUGAGUGCAAAUGAGGUAGGCGGAAUGUGUUGUGUAGCGGUGAAAUGCAUAGAUAUAACACAGAACACCAAUUGCGAAGGCAGCUUACUGGGAUGCAACUGACGCUGAGGCACGAAAGCGUGGGGAUCAAACAGGAUUAGAAACCCUGGUAGUCC